UGGGGAAUUUUGGACAAUGGGGGAAACCCUGAUCCAGCCAUCCCGCGUGUGCGAUGAAGGCCUUCGGGUUGUAAAGCACUUUUGGCAGGAAAGAAACGUCAUGGGUUAAUACCCCGUGAAACUGACGGUACCUGCAGAAUAAGCACCGGCUAACUACGUGCCAGCAGCCGCGGUAAUACGUAGGGUGCAAGCGUUAAUCGGAAUUACUGGGCGUAAAGCGUGCGCAGGCGGUUCGGAAAGAAAGAUGUGAAAUCCCAGAGCUCAACUUUGGAACUGCAUUUUUAACUACCGGGCUAGAGUGUGUCAGAGGGAGGUGGAAUUCCGCGUGUAGCAGUGAAAUGCGUAGAUAUGCGGAGGAACACCGAUGGCGAUGGCAGCCUCCUGGGAUAACACUGACGCUCAUGCACGAAAGCGUGGGGAGCAAACAGG
This 429-nucleotide ribosomal RNA is filed under the name Acidobacteriota bacterium. RNAcentral describes it as "Acidobacteria bacterium partial 16S ribosomal RNA". It matches the Rfam family "Bacterial small subunit ribosomal RNA", at positions 355 to 776 of the family's 1533-position model. The record is from RNAcentral. Lineage: Bacteria; Pseudomonadati; Acidobacteriota.